Molecule: ribosomal RNA, 492 nt
Filed under: uncultured bacterium
Lineage: Bacteria
Description: partial 16S ribosomal RNA
Rfam family: Bacterial small subunit ribosomal RNA
Source: RNAcentral
AGUGAACGCUGGCGGUAGGCCUAACACAUGCAAGUCGAACGGCAGCACAGUAAGAGCUUGCUCUUACGGGUGGCGAGUGGCGGACGGGUGAGGAAUACAUCGGCAUCUACUUUUUCGUGGGGGAUAACGUAGGGAAACUUACGCUAAUACCGCAUCCGACCUACGGGUGAAAGCAGGGGAUCUUCGGACCUUGCGCGAUUGAAUGAGCCGAUGUCGGAUUAGCUAGUUGGCGGGGUAAAGGCCCACCAAGGCGACGAUCCGUAGCUGGUCUGAGAGGAUGAUCAGCCACACUGGAACUGAGACACGGUCCAGACUCCUAAGGGAGGCAGCAGUGGGGAAUAUUGGACAAUGGGCGCAAGCCUGAUCCAGCCAUACCGCGUGGGUGAAGAAGGCCUUCGGGUUGUAAAGCCCUUUUGUUGGGAAAGAAAAGCAGCAGGUUAAUACCCCGCUGUUCUGACGGUACCCAAAGAAUAAGCACCGGCUAACUUCGUG